GACGAACGCUGGCGGCGUGCUUAACACAUGCAAGUCGAACGGAAAGGCCCUGCUUGCAGGGUACUCGAGUGGCGAACGGGUGAGUAACACGUGGGUGAUCUGCCCUGCACUUCGGGAUAAGCCUGGGAAACUGGGUCUAAUACCGGAUAGGAGCCAUUUUUAGUGUGAUGGUUGGAAAGUUUUUUCGGUGUAGGAUGAGCUCGCGGCCUAUCAGCUUGUUGGUGGGGUAAUGGCCUACCAAGGCGGCGACGGGUAGCCGGCCUGAGAGGGUGGACGGCCACAUUGGGACGGAGAUACGGCCCAGACGCCUACGGGAGGCAGCAGUGGGGAAUAUUGCACAAUGGGCGCAAGCCGGAUGCAGCGACGCCGCGUGGGGGAUGACGGCCUUCGGGUUGUAAACUCCUUUCGCUAGGGACGAAGCUUUUUGUGACGGUACCUAGAUAAGAAGCACCGGCUAACUACGUG
This 465-nucleotide ribosomal RNA is filed under the name uncultured bacterium. RNAcentral's name for it is "partial 16S ribosomal RNA". It matches the Rfam family "Bacterial small subunit ribosomal RNA", at positions 28 to 507 of the family's 1533-position model. The record is from RNAcentral.